Molecule: non-coding RNA, 800 nt
Organism: Peromyscus maniculatus bairdii (prairie deer mouse)
Lineage: Eukaryota; Metazoa; Chordata; Mammalia; Rodentia; Cricetidae
Source: RefSeq, a predicted model, not a curated record
UAUGAGCCAGCUUCCUCCCUUCUUCUGGUUUGUACACUCACACGGCUUCCCUGUGUGUGACGGAGGCUGUGCAGUGGAAGACCCACCUGGGAGUGGGCAGCUGACAGAUGACAGGUUGACAGUUCGAGGUGUUAGAUUAACUUGAAUGUGUUCUGUUCUGGAACAUCUAACACCGACAGGGCCUGUAGGAAAAUGAUAUUCUUAAAAAAAUGGUUUUAUAGUUUCUUUUCAUGAAAACACACAAACAAGCAGAAGCCACCAGGACCUGUACCAGCCUCCCUGGGAGGGUGAAGAGCACUUGGCUGUAGUGGAAAUGUGCUGCUCGUGUUCGUGGCCCGUUAUCCGGGAAGUCAGGGAAGGAAUUUGACGCCAGAACCUGGAGGCAGGAAUUGCAGGAGAGACCACAGAAGAGAUCUGCUUACUGGCUUGUUCUUCAUAGAUGAGGAAGCAGAGGCGGAGCCUGAAGUGCCCUGCCCAAGGUUGCAAUGCUGAGCCACCCUCUUCCCGGUGACUUCAAGGAGAACAACAAGGGGUGCAGUCAGCAGCUUGCGGAACGAGGCUGAGGAGGUGGCCGAUGUCUCCAUCUUCCUGGUCUUUCACCUUUCUGAGUUGUCCAGUGUGAGCCAAGACCUGCGGGGCUGUGAAGCUUCUUGGGGCUGUAACACUUGAAACAUCUCUUGGCUAGCAUCUUACUACCCAAGCUCAAAAGUUUCUGUUUCAUUCAAGCUAUCACUUCCCUAUCAUGACUUAUUUUUCCUUUUUAAAGUUGAAUUAAUAAAUUUCUCCUGGGUUGAACAUUC